This 308-nucleotide unclassified non-coding RNA is filed under the name Hevea brasiliensis (rubber tree). The record is from RNAcentral. Lineage: Eukaryota; Viridiplantae; Streptophyta; Magnoliopsida; Malpighiales; Euphorbiaceae.
AUGCUAACAUGAUUUUGGAAGAUAUAUUUUUGGGAUUUGAGAAAAUACGCUACAAAAAUAUUUUUAAAUUUUCUUUUAUUUUGGCUUUGUUAAUGAGUCGAAGUCAAUUUGUUAAUCAACAUUCUGAGAAGGCUAAUUACAUCGUUUUAUGGCUUUUAUUUGAAGUUUUGCUGUUAAGGAAUUGUGUCUGCUGCAUUUACUGAUAGAGCUAUUAUACAUGUUGAAAUUAUAUUUAUAUAGUAGUUGAAUUGCUUCAAUUUGUCACCCCUGUUAUUUGAUUUGGGAAUGCAGGAGAGCAUGGAGCAGCG